Molecule: long non-coding RNA, 393 nt
Filed under: Vitis vinifera (wine grape)
Lineage: Eukaryota; Viridiplantae; Streptophyta; Magnoliopsida; Vitales; Vitaceae
Description: long non-coding RNA (VVIN_LNC003270)
Source: RNAcentral
AAUGUUCCGCCGCUGAAUCUAUUGGAGGACAGUUGCCUCGAACUGAAGCUGCUCCCUUCCAGCCACUAUCAGAGUGUCUGCACUCUCGACAAGGUCAAAUCCGCUCUGGAGAGAGCAGAGAAAGAGGCCUCGAAGAAGCGGUCGUCGCCUCCGAUGUCGCUUUCUUCGUCGUUGACGACCAGAGAAGAGGGAGAUGAUGAAGAAGAGAAGCAGUCGUGGUCGUUGUCUUCGACUUCCACGUCACCGGCGUCAUCGUCGGGGAUGUUUGCAGCGGGAUGUCCAGUGUGCCUGCUGUACGUGAUGACAUAUAGGAAAAACCCAAAGUGCCCUCGCUGCGACUCCAUUGUUCCGUCUCCAUCUGCUUUUAAGAAACCCCGAAUUGAUUUAAACGCA